Molecule: long non-coding RNA, 844 nt
Organism: Megalops cyprinoides (Indo-Pacific tarpon)
Lineage: Eukaryota; Metazoa; Chordata; Actinopteri; Elopiformes; Megalopidae
Exons: 3
Source: RefSeq, a predicted model, not a curated record
ACAGCCACUGAAGUUUGAACUUGCUGUCGCUAACAGGUCGCUAACAUUUUUUUAACUGGUGGGACUUUGUGGUUUAAUCAUUUGUAGUUUAAACAGGCUGAAGAGACAGAAGGAGGAAGAUUUUUGGAGUGUAAAAUCGGAGUAAAGAGAAAGUGAAAGCAAAGUCACAUCAGCGUUCAUUUUGAAAGAGAACGAGAGAGAAACACCGAGCACCUAAAGUUUUGCCUUCGAUCAGUAGAAGACCUCACAAAGGCAUCGUAUUUCAUCGUGCUGUAAGUCGUUAUUAAGGCUAAAGGCCAGUGACUCGGGUAUCUGCCAAUUCUGGGAAUAUGAGUGUCUCUCAGACGCAGAUACAGUGUCCCCGAUGCCAUCAGCAGGGGGUUAAGACGGUCGGGGGCCAGCGUACGCCAUGCGUCUCCUGCUCCAAGGAGCUGAAGCGCCUUUACCACUACUGCUGCGCCUGCAAGCGGGAGUGGCCCCGGGGGGUGACCGGGGAAAAGUCCUGCACUCUCCCCGGGUGUGAGACGCGCGCCGCACUCCUCUCUCCACAGACCAUCACCGUCAUUCAGAGCUCCGUUUAUGGUUGCCCCUUCUUCCGGGCCUGCCCCCAGUGCAAGGCCCUCCUGACCCAUACGGGACGGGGUUGCCCCAAUAUCGUGUGCCCGCACUGCCUAACGCAGUUCUGCUUCCGCUGCCUAAAGAGAGGAGUCUGUCCCUUUUUACGACCCUCUCCCUGCACCAUAGUAGAUAACAGCGCAUCACUCAGGGCACUGGGGCUGUGAGGUGUGUGGGUAGCAAUGAGGGUAGUGGUGGAAGAGCAUGUUGCUGGUUCAAUUCCAAGCCA